UAAUGGGAAGGAUCCAUGCCGAAGAAUGAAGAGGAACUGAGUCCUUAGAAUGUUGUCCUGUGCUCAGAAGGCCCCAUUGACUAGCUCUGUGACAUGGGCUUCAUCUUUCUGAGCUAGAGCUGUCUCUCCUUUCCCGCUCUUCAAACUGCGACGCUGAUCUUGGUUGUCAAGGACUGGAAUCAACUAAAACUCAACCUGCUGGGCACACCUACAAGGAUUUUCUUAACCAGCUCACUUGAGAGGCAUUCAGUUGUUGGUGUUCUUUGGGGCAUCAUCAGUGUAGGCUGAAGACCGGCAGCUCUCCAGGAGUCCUCUAUGACACCAGUGACAGAUUGGGACUGCUGAGACAUCCAGUCUUGUAGACUGGACAACAACUGGAUUCUCGCCCUUUCCAUGAAGAGACAGUCACUGUUGGACUAUCCGGGUCACAGACAGGAGCCAGUCCAAUAAACUCGUGUGUGUGUGUGUGUGUG
Molecule: non-coding RNA, 473 nt
Organism: Peromyscus maniculatus bairdii (prairie deer mouse)
Lineage: Eukaryota; Metazoa; Chordata; Mammalia; Rodentia; Cricetidae
Source: RefSeq, a predicted model, not a curated record